UAAUGACCGCAGUGUUCUCUCUUGGUGAGGCUGUAAUUUUUGUGUGACCGCAAAGGAAGGAGCACAGUGUGAUGCUUGUAAGGUAGCUGCCAACCUUUCCCACAUGGGCACCCCCUCAACAAAACGUAAUAGUAAUAGUGACAGUAUGUGGCAAUUGAUUUUCUGAAUAUUGUUAAUAGAGUGUACAAUAUCCUGCCAGUGACUGUUUGAUUUGGCUUUAUGUAACUUCUGUAUCUUGUCUGCCACCUUGUGCACAGUCCUUUGUCCUGCUGUCUGUCAUCUCUCACUCCCUCUAGAUUCUUCUCUGUCUGUGCUGCUCACCUCCUCCUCUAACAGCUUUUGUUAUUCCUGUUCUUUCACACUGUCUCGGAGCAGUAAAUCCUAUCCGACUGGCAAGCUCCAGGACGUCCUAACCCUGACUUGAGAUAAAUCAUGCUGCACAAAUCCUGCAGAAAACCUCAGAGAUACACCCUUUCCAAGUUUGAACACCAAUUAAGCAGCGCAUUAACUCCAGAAAAGAUAAGUCUAACCCUAAAUAUUAUUUAUGUCACUAUUUGAUAUGGUUUGUUUACAUAUGAUGGUUUUUUUUUUUGUGCAUUUACGGUCUAUGUUGUACAGGGACACAUUGGUUGUUGUAAUUUCCUCAUGAAGACAUCGUGAGGCAGGAAAAGCUUAAUACUCCACUUAAAGGUUUAAGAGAUAUUGCAUUUCCCAUUUGAAUAUUUCAUGUUUGUUCCAACAGAAUUGUUCGUUCUUUGUGUGCAGCAAGCAUUUAUUUUAUUGUGUUUUAGGUUUUGUUGUGCAUAUUUACAGUUUGAUUUGGUCUAAGGAUUGUGUGGUAUGAAUGCUUACUUGUGGAUUUAAUUCAAGUUUGACUCAAGUGUGAUUAAGAUGAAUAAAUCUAUUGGUAACAGAAGAAAUAUAAUAAUAUAAGUAAUAGUUAGGUAUACAAGAUCAAACUCCCACCUGUGUUUGUGCAGUAGGAUGUUGAGCAGGACUGCAGUGCAGACAUCUGCAAAACCUGUUAGCCUCUUAUCAUGGGAUCAAGACGAUAAGCAGAAUCUAAGUCUUAAAUCUGUCCUACUGCACGUCUCAUUGUGUUUGUGAUAGCAAGUGUCACGGACUGUUAAGUUUUAUCACCGCUGGGUCAAUGUUUUUUGAAUUACUGUAUGCUAUAGUUGGCCUUGGACAAAGUGGCAGCUUAGCUGUUUCAACAUCAAAUACUGGUAGUUCUGAACAAAAAACAUUUCCUCAGAACAAAUAUCUAAACAAGUGAUGUAACACAGUUGCUGAGGUAUUGGCUUAAGUACUGGUGAGUUUGGUCCCGCGCUCAAAGGAACAAGAAAAAUAUGAUGAUUCAUCAUUUCAUUUCGCAGUAGCAUCAUGUCAUGUGUUUUGUUUCAUAUCUGUUUCAGUGAAAGCCUAAUGGCAUCUGCAUUUUGAUGCUAGCAUAAGAGGGACAAUGACACGCCAGAGAUGACAGAGGUCCUGAGCGAUGCUGCUUUCAGUGAAUUGGCCCAGAUAUCAUUUCAGAAAACACACAAGGGGAGAAAUACCGCCAUGUCUGAAUCUGAUAUCUUCUUCUAGAAUAUGAAUGGCAGGAGGUAUCAUUCUUGCCAAUUAUUGUUCUUUUUUUAUAUGUUUUAUAUGCACCUCUUGCUGGCUGUCACAGAAUAACAGCAAGGGAAGUUUUUUGUUUUUUUAUCUGGGUGCUUCUCUGAAUUUCCUACUAAUACAAGCUAAUACAAGAGGGUUGCAAAGUAGGUCCAUGAACAAAGACAGACCUAGAAAUACACCAAACCACUCGCUAAAAAAAAAAAAUGGAUCAGAUAACAGCACAUUAAAUUCCAAACUGAUGAUUCUCAUGGUAAAAUCGGGCACGGCAUGGAAGGAUUGAAACUGUUUUGCCAACAUUUCCACACUGUUGUGUCUGUCUGUUUGUUAUGUAAGCUCUGGUUCAGACAGGAGUCGGUCUUGGAAUGGGAAGGAGCACUCGGCCGUUACAGGUUACACCUACAGAUUAUUAAUGGUUGGAAUAUCAGAACAUUCUCUGACUGAUUGCACCAACCAGAGAUGACCUUCAUCACCCAUAUGUUACCUGGGUGUACCCUGCAUGAGGGACGGUGGUGUGCUUUCUUCCAUUUCAUGUCAAAUCCAAAAUACUGGAAAUGGCUGGAUUCUGAUUCAUUAAAACAUCACCUUCAAACUGCAUAACACAUAAUAUUUAACUGCUAAAAGGGCAUUCUGAUGCAUGCAUUAUGUGGCAUAUACAUUGUCUUAGUUGCUUCCGAUUGAUGCAUGUAGGAAAGUAUCUUUUUGAAACUGAAAACUGAGCCCUAAACACCAGACCAAAAUUUGCUUUAAAUUGGCAAUACUUUGAGAGAUAUGUCUUUCAUGUGUGCACUUACAGCAAUUUAUUUCAGAUGCCUAAAAUGAACCUCAAAGUCAUUAUAAGCUAAAAUAAAAAGCUACAGCAGUUGUUUUAACUUUACAUUCUGGCCCAAAAAUCAGCUCAUCAGCAUUCAAAAAGGAAAAGUCAACAUUUUGGAACACGAUUAUAUAAUAUGUGCACUGUUCUCUACUUCCCACACACCAUGACCUGACAUAAAAGAAUAUGCAACGCUCAAAUUAUACUAAACAAGCCUGAAGGAGAUGUAUUAGUGCAAACAUUAUAGUUGGGCAGAUCGAGCGUGUGGAACUCGCAGAUGGAAAUGUAUCGGAGAGAAAAUCAUCAUGCGCCUCGCAGAUGAUUUUGAUUUCCUGUCGAAUUCCUGUAUACGUGAGCCUUUAGCGGCAUGGAAAAGGAUUAAUAAGUCAACUGUUCCUUGAAAAGCACUCAAAAUUAAAAAGGUGUCUCCCCUUUUUAUAAAAAAUUAAAAUUCUGUUUAGUAUUGGUGUUCUUUUUUGGAAUCCAAUUAAUCUGUACUAGAAACCCCUAAUCUCUUGACUUGUUUAGGGUGACUUUUGCUUUUGUCAGUCUUCCUGCCUAAGCCGAGCUCUUCCGCAACAAAACGUGCCCCUACUGAUGCAAGAAAGACCUCCCGACCCCAACCGACUUCCACUCUUUUGGCUCACAAGUACUGAAAGGUUGUGACCUAAAGUGUUACAUAAAGCAAAACAGGCUCCACUUCCCCUUAUAUGACAGUGUGUGUGCAGGUUAGUGAUGAAUAGGUUUUUGUGUGCAUUGCAGACCCCUGAAGGACUUUUGUCAGGGAUGUGGAUGACAGCCUUGAUGGAAUCUGUGGAUGUGUGCGAUGUGCAUGAGUGUAUGCACAAGAGAGGGGGACAGGAGGAAUGGAUGAACAAAGGGUGGGGAAAGAGAGUUUCAGCAUUCUUCAGCAUCAUGCCAAGAAAGAGGCCAAUGCCACUCUUUCCUGGCGUCGGCCUCACUUGUUCCUAAACCCAGCAUCAGAGCCCUAUUACUCUGGCCCAGGAGCAGCUGCAUGUAUUCAGAGAACUGUUGCUGAACCUAAUCCCAGAAUGUGUAAAAACACCAAAGUAUGCAAACAUAAUGAUGAUCUGUGGCUCAGUCCUCCUCCAUGAUGCCAUAUUGGGAGGAAUGCAGAAAGAGGUCAUUUAAUGUGACUGGUGAUAAGUGCUCUUCUUAAUGGCACAGUAAGAUGGCAGGGGACCGAGCCAUAACGUCCUGUCAGACACGACCGACCUGGUCCGUUCCAUAAUACAACUUCUUCUAUUAAAACACAGGGACACAAAGGCAGAUGUGAGGUCUUGAACAAGUUGAUGUUCAUUUCAGUCUGCCAUAGUAAAAUCACAGACUCACUGAAACUUGGCACAUAUCUGCAUGCUCAUUUUUCUCCUUUUUGUCUGGCAGGCUCUUGUCUGCCAGAAAGGACAAAAAAAAAGGAGCUCUGCCAGUGGGACAGGAUUUGUGUUCAGUCCAGCAAGCCUCUCCUCUCUGCUGCUGAAGCUAUAGUAAGAACUGACUUGGAUUUAAGACACAGCCACAGUGUUACAGAUGGAGGUAUGCAAGUCCACGCCACUGCAUUACUGAAAAGAACACUUGAAUAAUGACUGAUCAUUACUCUGUUGUCGGUACACUUGGGAAGAAGCUCUCCACGCUGAAGGGUGCAAAUUAAUCUCAGCCCUGUCCUGUGGCAACAUCAUUGGUUGCUGCAGAGAUCUUUGACACUUUGACAUUCUUGUGACAUCUUUUGUGCUGCCGGUAAGUUCUUUGUGCUUUGUAUUUUGACUGCUCACUGACGUGAAGUGAUAAACGUUGAAUGUGUCAUCGCUGCAGGCUCCUCAUCCCUCUUCACGCCAGAAUGACGGUGUUUAGCGGCUGUUAAGUACUGACUGACUGCCUGGGGUGAAGGUGUGCAAGAGACUCAUUCCCGCCACGCGUAGCUCUCUAAGUUUCAAAGUAAAUGAACACAUCUCCUCUGGUUUUAUCAUGGGGACAUCACAGAUCCCGUCCCCCCCACCUCUCAAGUGGUCUCUGGCUCGGCUGGAAACAUUAAACAAGACUUAUGAGUUCAAAUUCUGCUCUCUGCACAUUUCUGUGACCUCUGUGAACAUUUACAUAACUAGUUUGCUGGCCACUGCCACUGCCUCAUACUGAUAUUCAGUCCCAAAGUUGUCCUGGCGUCCUUCCUCAGGCUAUGCUGAACAUUUUAUUCUGUUAAGAAGUGGCAAACGCCAAUGAUGGCAGCUCAGCAGACUGACCACCCAGGAAGGUUGUCCUGGCUGGAGCUGGAGCUACAGUCCUCAACCACCAGCCUCAACCUCAACCAAGUUUCUUCACCCCUUGCUCUUCAUUCUACAGUAUCAUAACAACACACCCUUACUAUCAUAAAUAAAUCAAGAACAAAUUGUUCCUGCUUGAAUAAUGCAGCUCCACAGCAAGAACAAUGUUGCCUUGAAUGGUUUCAAAUUAAUGAGCAUUGAAACAACUGUUAUGCAACCUAACAGAUGGAAAAAUAAAGUGUGUGGAAGUUCUCCAAA
Molecule: long non-coding RNA, 4962 nt
Organism: Scatophagus argus
Lineage: Eukaryota; Metazoa; Chordata; Actinopteri; Scatophagidae
Exons: 4
Source: RefSeq, a predicted model, not a curated record